AACGAACGCUGGCGGCAUGCCUAAUACAUGCAAGUCGAACGAGAUCUUCGGAUCUAGUGGCGCACGGGUGCGUAACGCGUGGGAAUCUGCCCUUGGGUUCGGAAUAACUUCUGGAAACGGAAGCUAAUACCGGAUGAUGACGUAAGUCCAAAGAUUUAUCGCCCAAGGAUGAGCCCGCGUAGGAUUAGGUAGUUGGUGAGGUAAAGGCUCACCAAGCCGACGAUCCUUAGCUGGUCUGAGAGGAUGAUCAGCCACACUGGGACUGAGACACGGCCCAGACUCCUACGGGAAGCAGCAGUAGGGAAUAUUGGACAAUGGGCGAAAGCCUGAUCCAGCAAUGCCGCGUGAGUGAUGAAGGCCUUAGGGUUGUAAAGCUCUUUUACCCGGGAUGAUAAUGACAGUACCGGGAGAAUAAGCUCCGGCUAACUCCGUG
This 433-nucleotide ribosomal RNA is filed under the name uncultured bacterium. RNAcentral describes it as "partial 16S ribosomal RNA". It matches the Rfam family "Bacterial small subunit ribosomal RNA", at positions 29 to 507 of the family's 1533-position model. The record is from RNAcentral.